AACGAACGCUGGCGGCAUGCCUAACACAUGCAAGUCGAACGAGACCUUCGGGUCUAGUGGCGCACGGGUGCGUAACGCGUGGGAACCUGCACUUAGGUUCGGAAUCACUCCCUGAAAGGGGUGCUAAUACCGGAUAAUGUCUUCGGACCAAAGAUGUGUUGCCGUUGGAUGGGCGCGCGUUGGAUUAGCUAGUUGGUAGGGUAAAAGCCUACCAAGGCGACGAUCCAUAGCUGGUCUGAGAGGAUGAUCAGCCACACUGGGACUGAGACACGGCCCAGACUCCUACGGGAGGCAGCGGUAGGGAAUAUUAGACAAUGGGCGAAAGCCUGAUCCAGCAAUGCCGCGUGAGUGAUGAAGGCCUUAGGGUUGUAAAGCUCUUUUACCCGGGAUGAUAAUGACAGUACCGGGAGAAUAAGCUCCGGCUAACUCCGUG
Molecule: ribosomal RNA, 433 nt
Filed under: uncultured bacterium
Lineage: Bacteria
Description: partial 16S ribosomal RNA
Rfam family: Bacterial small subunit ribosomal RNA
Source: RNAcentral